Molecule: small nuclear RNA, 114 nt
Organism: Perognathus longimembris pacificus (Pacific pocket mouse)
Lineage: Eukaryota; Metazoa; Chordata; Mammalia; Rodentia; Heteromyidae
Product: U5 spliceosomal RNA
Exons: 1
Source: RefSeq, a predicted model, not a curated record
AUACUCUGGUUUCUUUUCAGAUUGUAUAAAUCUUUUCCUUUUACUAAAGAUUUCCAUGCAGAGGAACAAUUCUGAGUCUUCAGAAAUUUUUUGAGGCCUAAUUUUACCGAGGCU